This 800-nucleotide ribosomal RNA is filed under the name uncultured archaeon. Its description in RNAcentral is "bacterial SSU rRNA". It matches the Rfam family "Archaeal small subunit ribosomal RNA", at positions 79 to 881 of the family's 1478-position model. The record is from RNAcentral.
GCCCUUACUGCUCAGUAACACGUGGAUAAUCUACCCUUGGGUGGAGAAUAACCUCGGGAAACUGAGGCUAAUGAGCCAUAGACAUUCUAUGACUGAAUACUUGAAUGUUGAAAGCGCAAAGCGCCCAAGGAUGAGUCUGCGGCCUAUCAUGGUUGUAGGCGGUGUAAUGGACCACCUAGCCUAUGACGGGUACGGGCACUGAGAGGUGGAGCCCGGAGAUGGACUCUGAGACACGAGUCCAGGCCCUACGGGGCGCAGCAGGCGCGAAAACUACGCACUGCGCGAAAGCGCGACGUGGGAAACCCGAGUGCCUUUUCUUUUUUGAAAAGGCUUUUCUCAAGCCUAAAAAGCUUGGGGAAUAAGAGCUGGGCAAGACGGGUGCCAGCCGCCGCGGUAAUACCCGCAGCUCGAGUGGUAGCCGCUAUUAUUGAGCCUAAAGCGUUUGUAGCCGGCUUUGUAAAUCCUUGGGUAAAUCGAGUCGCUUAACGGUUCGAAUUUCAGGGAGACUGCAAGGCUAGAGACCGGGAGAGGUCAGAGGUACUUUCGAGGUAGGAGUAAAAUCCCGUAAUCCCGAAGGGACCACCUGUGGCGAAGGCGUCUGACUAGAACGGCUCUGACGGUGAGGAACGAAGGCUAGGGGAGCAAACAGGAUUAGAUACCCUGGUAGUCCACGCUGUAAACGAUGUGUGCUGGAUGUUGGGGAACUUAGUUUCUCAGUGUCGUAGCUAACGCGAUAAGCACACCGCCUGGGGAGUACGGCCGCAAGGUUGAAACUCAAAGGAAUUGGCGGGGGAGCACAA